RNAcentral lists this transfer RNA (625 nucleotides) under uncultured Prochlorococcus sp. RNAcentral describes it as "partial 16S-23S ribosomal RNA intergenic spacer". The stretch from base 241 to 313 matches the Rfam family "tRNA". The record is from RNAcentral. Lineage: Bacteria; Bacillati; Cyanobacteriota; Cyanophyceae; Synechococcales; Prochlorococcaceae.
UGUGAUGUCUAAAUGAUUUAUUUUUAGGCCAUAAUCCUGUCACCUUAGGUCGAUCGGUAUCUCAGUUUGAUAUCAGCUGACUAAGUAAUUUAGUUCUUUUGGUUAUUAAAUUCAGUUCCUAAACUUUGUCUAGGUCACACCCAACAAGGGUACUCCUGGGCCAUUAGCUCAGGUGGUUAGAGCGCACCCCUGAUAAGGGUGAGGUCCCUGGUUCAAGUCCAGGAUGGCCCAUUCGGUGUUGGGGGUAUAGCUCAGUUGGUAGAGCGCCUGCUUUGCAAGCAGGAUGUCAGCGGUUCGAGUCCGCUUACCUCCACUGAUCCAUCUCCUGACCACGAAGCCCAAGGAGAUUUUGUUUAAUGUGAUCUAGAUUUGUUCUGGAAGUCAGAACCUAGCUUCUUGUCAGCAAUAUUUAACUAUUUAAUUUGCUAGAUAGGACGCUGGGCUCACUGCAAUAUAAAUUGCAGAGUGCUUCAGUAGAACCUUGACAACUGCAUAGGUGAGUCUGGAAAAAAUAAAGCAUCUCAUGGAUGCAUUAUUUUUUCAUAAAAUAAGUUCUAAUUAAUUUAGUCUUUAUUUAUGUUUAAAAUAAUGUUUAAUUCUUGAGCAAGAGCCGAGACUCUAUAAU